GACGAACGCUGGCGGCGUGCUUAACACAUGCAAGUCGAACGGAAAGGCCUGCUUUCCCUUGUGGAUUGCGGGUACUCGAGUGGCGAACGGGUGAGUAACACGUGAGUGAUCUGCCCCCAACUUGGGUAUAAGCCUGGGAAACUGGGUCUAAUUCCCGAUAGGACUGCAGGGUGGUGCCUGUGGUGGAAAACGAUUUUCUAGUGGUUGGGGAUGAGCUCGCGGCCUAUCAGCUUGUUGGUGGGGUAAUGGCCUACCAAGGCGGCGACGGGUAGCCGGGCUGGGAGGGUGGACGGCCACAUUGGGACUGAGAUACGGCCCAGACUCCUACGGGAGGCAGCAGGGGGGAAUAUUGCACAAUGGGCGGAAGCCUGAUGCAGCGACGCCGCGUGGGGGAUGACGGCCUUCGGGUUGUAAACUCCUUUCGACCGCGAGGAAGCCACCUGGUUGGAAGGGUGGUGACGGUAGUGGUAGAAGAAGCACCGGCUAACUACGUG
RNAcentral lists this ribosomal RNA (494 nucleotides) under uncultured bacterium. RNAcentral's name for it is "partial 16S ribosomal RNA". It matches the Rfam family "Bacterial small subunit ribosomal RNA", at positions 28 to 507 of the family's 1533-position model. The record is from RNAcentral.